This 72-nucleotide transfer RNA is filed under the name Phycisphaerales bacterium. RNAcentral describes it as "tRNA-Asn". Lineage: Bacteria; Pseudomonadati; Planctomycetota; Phycisphaerae; Phycisphaerales. The record is from RNAcentral.
UUCAGGAUCGGUCGAUGGUAGAGCGAGCGGCUGUUAACCGCUAAGUUCAAGGUUCGAGUCCUUAUGGGGGAG